UACGGAGGGGGCUAGCGUUGUUCGGAUUACUGGGCGUAAAGCGCGCGUAGGCGGACCUGCAAGUCGGGGGUGAAAGCCCGAGGCUCAACCUCGGAAUUGCCUUCGAUACUGCGGGUCUCGAGUCCGGGAGAGGUGAGUGGAAUUCCUAGUGUAGAGGUGAAAUUCGUAGAUAUUAGGAAGAACACCAGUGGCGAAGGCGGCUCACUGGCCCGGUACUGACGCUGAGGCGCGAAAGCGUGGGGAGCAAACAGG
Molecule: ribosomal RNA, 252 nt
Filed under: uncultured bacterium
Lineage: Bacteria
Description: partial 16S ribosomal RNA
Rfam family: Bacterial small subunit ribosomal RNA
Source: RNAcentral